CUUUAACGCUGGCGGCAUGCCUUACACAUGCAAGUCGAACGGUAACAGGUCUUCGGAUGCUGACGAGUGGCGAACGGGUGAGUAAUACAUCGGAACGUGCCCGAUCGUGGGGGAUAACGAAGCGAAAGCUUUGCUAAUACCGCAUACGAUCUACGGAUGAAAGCAGGGGACCGCAAGGCCUUGCGCGAACGGAGCGGCCGAUGGCAGAUUAGGUAGUUGGUGGGAUAAAAGCUUACCAAGCCGACGAUCUGUAGCUGGUCUGAGAGGACGACCAGCCACACUGGGACUGAGACACGGCCCAGACUCCUACGGGAGGCAGCAGUGGGGAAUUUUGGACAAAGGGCGAAAGCCUGAUCCAGCCAUGCCGCGUGCAGGAUGAAGGCCUUCGGGUUGUAAACUGCUUUUGUACGGAACGAAAAGACUCUGGUUAAUACCUGGGGUCCAUGACGGUACCGUAAGAAUAAGCACCGGCUAACUACGUG
Molecule: ribosomal RNA, 482 nt
Filed under: uncultured bacterium
Lineage: Bacteria
Description: partial 16S ribosomal RNA
Rfam family: Bacterial small subunit ribosomal RNA
Source: RNAcentral